UACGUAGGGGGGCGAGCGUUUGUCCGGAAUCAUUGGGCGUAAAGCGCGUGUAGGCGGCCCGGUAAGUCCGCUGUGAAAGUCCAGGGCUCAACCCUGGGAUGCCGGUGGAUACUGUCGGGCUCGAGUCCGGAAGAGGCGAGUGGAAUUCCUGGUGUAGCGGUGAAAUGCGCAGAUAUCAGGAGGAACACCAAUGGCGAAGGCAGCUCGCUGGGACGUGACUGACGCUGAGACGCGAAAGCGUGGGAGCGAA
Molecule: ribosomal RNA, 250 nt
Filed under: uncultured bacterium
Lineage: Bacteria
Description: partial 16S ribosomal RNA
Rfam family: Bacterial small subunit ribosomal RNA
Source: RNAcentral